UACGUAGGGUGCGAGCGUUGUCCGGAAUUACUGGGCGUAAAGAGCUUGUAGGCGGUUUGUCGCGUCUGCUGUGAAAAUCCGGGGCUCAACCCCGGACUUGCAGUGGGUACGGGCAGACUAGAGUGUGGUAGGGGAGACUGGAAUUCCUGGUGUAGCGGUGGAAUGACGCAGAUAUCAGGAGGGAACACCCGGUGGGCGAA
This 200-nucleotide ribosomal RNA is filed under the name uncultured bacterium. RNAcentral describes it as "partial 16S ribosomal RNA". It matches the Rfam family "Bacterial small subunit ribosomal RNA", at positions 524 to 719 of the family's 1533-position model. The record is from RNAcentral.